Molecule: long non-coding RNA, 869 nt
Organism: Dalotia coriaria
Lineage: Eukaryota; Metazoa; Arthropoda; Insecta; Coleoptera; Staphylinidae
Exons: 2
Source: RefSeq, a predicted model, not a curated record
AUUCAAUUGUUUAAGACCAGGAAAACAAAAAAAAACAUUCACACAUAUGACAAACAAAAAGCACGUGGCAAUUCAACGUUAAUUCUAGUAAAAAUUCUGAUUCAAGUAGAAAAACAUGGAAUUUGAAGCUUCCUCUGAUUCUUCUGAAGAAUUUAUUCCACAACGGAUCGAAGUACAAGCCGACAUCGAAAAUGUUCAUACUUCAUCCAUAAAAGAAACAAGUAUCAACACAACGUACGAUGAAUUUAUUCGCAAAUCUCAGGAUUCCCAAUUUUCCUCCACACUUAACGAACCCUCAACAUCAGGCGCUGUAAAUACCAAAAUGCAAAUUCAAUCUACGAUGGUUCAAACACCAACCCCCGCAGGUGCGCCCAUGAAACAGAUAUUGUUCAGUAAGACUAUACACAAAGUCAUUCCCGAAAAUGUAAAACGACUGACUGUUAUUGAUGAAAACAAGACAAUUAAUGAUCCAAACAGAAAUUUAGGAAAAAGGAAGCUUCCAUAUCAAAAUAGAGUUGGUAAACCAGAAGAUAAUAUAGAAAAGAAGAAAAUAGUAGCUCAUGAAGUAGAUAACGUAAAAGAAACUAAGAAUGUAAAAUAUGGAAGUGAACUACAGAAGUAUAUGAAGGAAAUUGUUACAGCUCAUGAUCAACUUGCUAAGAAAACGUCUUCAAAGCGUCUGAAUGAUACGGAUCAACUACUGAAAUAUUUACGUAAAUGUGACUCAUUGACCAAGAAGAUCCAGAAAUUGAAGGAUUUACUAAGCAAUUAAAUUUAAAAUUAUAUUUACUGUAUCUUGUAAACAAAUACACAUUUGAUGAAUUUCUAAAGUUAAUUAAAUAAAGUAAAUUUCUAAUGUUAUAGUUUAA